CCCCCCCCCCCGAGUGGGGGUCAUGGGCGAUUUGACGGAUGCACCGGGUCGAAUGUUCUUCAUCGCGUUUAUUUUCGCCGCGUCACUCGUCGCGAUGCAACACUUAGGAACGUGUAAAACCGCGAACGACCGCAGCCGUUGACAAUACAUUAAUUAUAAAAAAAAAAAAAAAAAAAAAUUAGCGAAAAAUCGCGACAAAAAACACACUCAACAGCGACACGAGAUUAAGAUUCUGAUUAUUUGCAUUAAUAAUUAUAAACAAUUGUACAUAAUAAAAAUAAAAAAAAUCGUCGUAUAACCGAGUAAUCGAAAAAAAAAAAAAUAUAAAAAAAAAACCAACUAGUCAAGCCCGUUUUGUAUAUUUAUUAUUUUUUAUUAUUAUUUUUUUUUUUUUUUACUCGAAUAUAAUACGACGCGUGUAUGUAAAUAGUUAUAAAAAAGAAAACUACUCGACGAAUAUAUUACAAUAUUAUUAUUAUCAUUAUUAUUGUUAUAUUUUUUACGUAUUGUACAGCUACACAAUGUUUUAACGGCGUUUUAUCGGAAUCUGUAAAUUUAUUUACCUUUUUUUUUUUUUUUCUACUACUAUUAUUAUUAUUACUAUUAGAUUGUGAUAUAUUUUAAGGUAUUGUACAUUAGUAACGAUAAUUAUUAUCAUUAUUAUCAUUAUUAUUAUUGUAAUUAUAACGUGACACUUUUGUAUAGUUGUACACGCAGCUGUCGUCUAUUAGAUAAUAUUAUUAUUAUUAUUAUUAUUAUUAUUAUUAUUAUUAUUAUUAUUAUAUACGUACCGUUAACAAUGAUUAUUGUAAUUUAUAUUAUUAUUUUUUACGGGAUCCGUAUUUAUUCGUUUUUUUUUAAUUUUUUUUUUUUUUUUUCUUAUAAUAAUACGUACGAAAACGCGCGCUCUCGGGGUUUUUCGUUUUCAUACGUAUACAUAUAUAUAUAUACAUACAUAUUAUAACGGUAUUCGCGUAAAUUUUGAACAUAUCAUUCGACCGUUUCGCGAACGGAAAAAACGACGCGUUCGAGACACCGAAAAACGAAAAACACACACCGUCUAACUAGUUUAAUGGCAUCGAUCGCGUUACCGCUAUCAGGUUUAUCGUUCGCGCCGAACCGUAACAUACAGUCGAUAAUUGCGAAGCCGUUACGAAGCAAUACGCGCGGUUAUCAUAAUAUAAUAUCGCGCACCCCCCCCCCAACCCCCCCGGUUCGUGUUUUACGCGCGGCGGUAGCCGUACGACGUCACGACAAUAUUAUGAAAAAGUAUUACCUCCCCAACCCACCUACUCCGGAAAACUAUUUAAUUUUUGUUAUUAUUAUUGUAAUCUAAGCCGAAAAAUAUUAUUAUUAUUACUAUUAAACAUUAUAUUGUGUACAGCUCUAAUAAAAUGUAAUAUUAUGUAUGAUUAUUUACGCGCGCAGCUAUAUGCUGCCGGACAAAUCUAUAUCAAAAAAAUAUGCCCAUAAAAAAAAAAAAAAAAAAUUGUUAACUC
Molecule: non-coding RNA, 1499 nt
Organism: Cinara cedri
Lineage: Eukaryota; Metazoa; Arthropoda; Insecta; Hemiptera; Aphididae
Source: the annotation of a GenBank genome assembly